GUUUUCAGACGCAUUGGAAGCUGAGUUUAAGUUUAGGAUAUAGAGGAAAGUCCGGACACCAUAGUGCGGCAUAGCGGGUAACUCCCGUCACCAUACUUUUUUAGGUAUGGGCGGACAAGUGCAACAGAAAGCAAGUACAGUUAGGCUGUAGUGAAAUCAGGUAAACUCUAUGUGGUGAAACGUCAUGUAAACCAAUGCCCUGAUGAUUCAGGAUAGGGCGGCACGUCCAAGUUGGAGGGUAGGCGGCUAGAGCCAUUGGGCAACCAAUGGUCCAGAUAAAUGAUAAGACGGUUCACUUAGGUGAAUGGAACAGAAUCCGGCUUAUGGUCUGCUAUAAAAC
Molecule: RNase P RNA, 340 nt
Filed under: Croceitalea dokdonensis DOKDO 023
Lineage: Bacteria; Pseudomonadati; Bacteroidota; Flavobacteriia; Flavobacteriales; Flavobacteriaceae
Description: Bacterial RNase P class A
Rfam family: Bacterial RNase P class A
About the family: Ribonuclease P (RNase P) is a ubiquitous endoribonuclease, found in archaea, bacteria and eukarya as well as chloroplasts and mitochondria. Its best characterised activity is the generation of mature 5'-ends of tRNAs by cleaving the 5'-leader elements of precursor-tRNAs.
Source: Rfam by way of RNAcentral